ACAUGCAAGUCGAACGGAAAGGCCUCUUCGGAGGUACUCGAGUGGCGAACGGGUGAGUAACACGUGGGCAAUCUGCCCUGCACUUCGGGAUAAGCCUGGGAAACUGGGUCUAAUACCGGAUAGGACCUCAAGACGCAUGUCUUCUGGUGGAAAGCUUUUGCGGUGUGGGAUGGGCCCGCGGCCUAUCAGCUUGUUGGUGGGGUGACGGCCUACCAAGGCGACGACGGGUAGCCGGCCUGAGAGGGUGUCCGGCCACACUGGGACUGAGAUACGGCCCAGACUCCUACGGGAGGCAGCAG
Molecule: ribosomal RNA, 299 nt
Filed under: uncultured Mycobacterium sp.
Lineage: Bacteria; Bacillati; Actinomycetota; Actinomycetes; Mycobacteriales; Mycobacteriaceae
Description: partial 16S ribosomal RNA
Rfam family: Bacterial small subunit ribosomal RNA
Source: RNAcentral